UCAGACGAUGCGUCAUGCAUAUCAAUAAGCGGAGGAAAAGAAACUAACAAGGAUUCCCUUAGUAACGGUGAGUGAAGCGGGAAGAGCUCAAAUUUGAAAUCUUCAAGGUUUUACCUUGACGAAUUGUAGUUUAAAGAAGUGUUUUCUGUUGAAGUUUUGGUAAAAGUUCUUUGGAAUAGGACAUCAUAGAGGGUGAGAAUCCCGUAUUUGACCAUUAUUUUCAGCUUUGUGAUACACUUUCAAAGAGUCGGAUUGUUUGGGAAUGCAGUCCAAAAUGGGUGGUAAAUUUCAUCUAAAGCUAAAUAUUGGCGAGAGACCGAUAGCGAACAAGUACCGUGAGGGAAAGAUGAAAAGAACUUUGAAAAGAGAGUUAAACAGUACGUGAAAUUGUCAAAAGGGAAGCGUUUGACACCAGUGUUGUUUUCUCGAAAAUCAAUUAAAAAGAGUUAGAUUUUGUUGUGUAUUGACCUUAACAGCUUGCAUUUCAAUUUUCUUGCUUUUUUUAAUGCACUUUUCGUUUAACAAGUCAACAUCAGUUUCUUUUGUUGUAAAAAGGUCAUUGGAAGGUGGCUUUCUUUUCGGAGAAAGUGUUUAUAGCCUUUGACUCCUGCAAUCGAGAGACUGAGGUCUGCAGCGUAGAUCCUUCGGGGUUAGAUACAUUUGUGCUAAGUUAUAGCUUUUUAUAGACAACUUGUUGACUAUGAUUAGUCUUGUAGCUUACUCGCUUAUGCUAUUUUACCUACGCUUAGGAUGUUGAGUCGUAGAGCACGCAG
RNAcentral lists this ribosomal RNA (773 nucleotides) under uncultured Neocallimastigales. RNAcentral describes it as "partial large subunit ribosomal RNA". It matches the Rfam family "Eukaryotic large subunit ribosomal RNA", at positions 18 to 634 of the family's 3401-position model. Lineage: Eukaryota; Fungi; Neocallimastigomycota; Neocallimastigomycetes; Neocallimastigales. The record is from RNAcentral.